Molecule: long non-coding RNA, 994 nt
Filed under: Piliocolobus tephrosceles (Ugandan red Colobus)
Lineage: Eukaryota; Metazoa; Chordata; Mammalia; Primates; Cercopithecidae
Description: lncRNA (ENSPTEG00000004016.1)
Source: RNAcentral
GCUUUUUAGAAAACUUAAUUUAUAUAGUUUUUAUAUUUGUUACACAAAUAUUAUUUUAUUUAUUUUUCUUUUUUUUCUUUUUUAUGUUUUAAUGUUAAAUUAGGGUGUAGUGCCACUUAACCCAAAACCCUUUUUAAAUAAUUUAGCUGGAAACCGAGUUAUUAUAAAAUUAAAAUGGGGAAUAGAAUAUAAAGGAAAUUUGAAAUCAUUUGACGCUUAUAUGAAUAUACGGUUAGCAAAUGCUGAGGAAUGGAUUCAUGGUGAAUAUAAAGGAACAUUAGGAGAAAUAUUUUUAAGAUGUAACAACAUUUUAUAUAUAAGAGAAGACAAUGAAACAGAAAAAUCUUAAAAUUUAACAGUAAUUUUAUUUUUAACAAGUCCCAGUAAAUUUAUCGAAGUUUUUUUUACAUUUCUUUUUCUUUUAUUAUAUAUAUAAACAUUUUUUUUAAUUCAUUUUUAAUGCUGUACAUGAAUAUCAUAAGUUAUCCCUUAAAUUAAAACCCUUCUGUUUUUAAAUGACUUUCUAAAUUAUAUAGUAUAUUAUUAUUAUUUUUUCUUUUUUUAAAUAUAUAUAUGCAUAAAUCUAAUAUUUUAGUAAACUAAUUUUUUUCAUGUAUUUAUAAAUUUUAAUGUUACUUUUUUUUUUUUUAUAUUGUAUAUAGAUAUAUAUGUAUAAGUUAUCAUAAUUAUCUCCUGGAAAAACAAAUAAGUGUGUUAACACUUUUUUUAUACAUAUAUUUGUUUUAUUUUGCAUGAAAUAAUAUAUUCUGGCUUAACACAAUCACAUAUGUAUACAUAUAAAUAGAUGUAAAGUAAUAUUACAUGUAUGUGUUUACUGCAAUGAGGCAUUUUUUUUUUUUUUUUUUUUUUUUUUUUUUUUAAUUAAAGUUAAAUUCCUUUUUUUAAAAAAUUAAUUUUAUAAAAAAAAAAAAAAAAUGAUAUAUAAAAAUUAAAAUUAUCACUAAAAUAAAAUCAUAAAAAGAAAUGUAAAACA